CCGAUGCCCAGAAUGCGUGUGCGAAGCGGAAAUGCAAAGGGUGCAUCCACUGCAAUGCGCGACUCCGAUGUGCGCACGGAACUGCACUCUGGUUACCGGUGACCACGGAUGUCCGGACUGUGAGUGUCCACCGACUCACUGCCCGAGGAAGAAAUGUCCUCCGGGAUGUCACAGAGAAACGGGCAUCCUCCAUGACCGAUGCCCAGAAUGCGUGUGCGAAGCGGAAAUGCAAGUGGUGCAUGCACUGCAAUGCGCGACUCCGCUGUGCGCACCGAACUGCACCCUGGUUACCGGUGACCACGGAUGUCCAGACUGUGAGUGUCCACCGACUCACUGCCCGAGGAAGAAAUGUCCUCCGGGAUGUCACAGAGAAACGGGUAUCCUCCAUGACCGAUGCCCAGAAUGCGUGUGCGAAGCGGAAAUGCAAAGGGUGCAUCCACUGCAAUGCGCGACUCCGAUGUGCGCACGGAACUGCACUCUGGUUACCGGUGACCACGGAUGUCCGGACUGUGAGUGUCC
Long non-coding RNA from Ornithodoros turicata, 519 nucleotides. RefSeq lists it as uncharacterized. The transcript has 4 exons. The record is from RefSeq and is a predicted model, not a curated record. Lineage: Eukaryota; Metazoa; Arthropoda; Arachnida; Ixodida; Argasidae.